CCUACGGGCGGCAGCAGUGAGGAAUAUUGGUCAAUGGACGAGAGUCUGAACCAGCCAAGUAGCGUGAAGGAUGACUGCCCUAUGGGUUGUAAACUUCUUUUAUAUGGGAAUAAAAUGAUCCACGUGUGGGAGUUUGUAUGUACCAUAUGAAUAAGGAUCGGCUAACUCCGUGCCAGCAGCCGCGGUAAUACGGAGGAUCCGAGCGUUAUCCGGAUUUAUUGGGUUUAAAGGGAGCGUAGGUGGAUUGUUAAGUCAGUUGUGAAAGUUUGCGGCUCAACCGUAAAAUUGCAGUUGAAACUGGCAGUCUUGAGUACAGUAGAGGUGGGCGGAAUUCGUGGUGUAGCGGUGAAAUGCUUAGAUAUCACGAAGAACUCCGAUUGCGAAGGCAGCUCACUGGACUGCAACUGACACUGAGGCUCGAAAGUGUGGGUAUCAAACAGGAUUAGAUACCCUAGUAGUC
RNAcentral lists this ribosomal RNA (460 nucleotides) under uncultured bacterium. RNAcentral describes it as "partial 16S ribosomal RNA". It matches the Rfam family "Bacterial small subunit ribosomal RNA", at positions 338 to 795 of the family's 1533-position model. The record is from RNAcentral.